RNAcentral lists this ribosomal RNA (277 nucleotides) under Apotolamprus sericeus. RNAcentral describes it as "partial 28S ribosomal RNA". It matches the Rfam family "Eukaryotic large subunit ribosomal RNA", at positions 678 to 921 of the family's 3401-position model. The record is from RNAcentral. Lineage: Eukaryota; Metazoa; Arthropoda; Insecta; Coleoptera; Scarabaeidae.
GCAUGUGCGCGAGUCAUUGGGACUCUGUUAAACCUAAAGGCGCAAUGAAAGUAAAGGUCCGCCUCGCGCGGACCGAGGGAGGAUGGGCCCGUCCCCGGACGGGCCCCGCACUCCCGGGGCGUCUCGUUCUCAUCGCGAGAAGAGGCGCACCCAGAGCGUACACGCUGGGACCCGAAAGAUGGUGAACUAUGCCUGGUCAGGACGAAGUCAGGGGAAACCCUGAUGGAGGUCCGUAGCGAUUCUGACGUGCAAAUCGAUCGUCGGAACUGGGUAUAGG